This is a long non-coding RNA of Stegodyphus dumicola, 1519 nucleotides long. RefSeq lists it as uncharacterized. NCBI's taxonomy places the organism in Eukaryota, Metazoa, Arthropoda, Arachnida, Araneae, Eresidae. The record is from RefSeq and is a predicted model, not a curated record.
GUUUUCCUGCGUUUAUGGUACUUCCUACUACAAAGACAGUCUGACGCAUUAGAAGUCUGUUUGACUUGAUAGUUUACUGCAAUUUUUAAUUAUAAGGCGAAGUAUCAAGAAGAAAGUGUAUAAUGUAUUUUGAAGGUAAUGAUGAAUCGGUGCAUUUUGAAUUGUAUAAAUAUACCGGAAUUAUUCCAUGCGCACUGACUUUUAUAGCCUUGUGCUCAGCAUGUCUAUCGACAAGACGUCAUCGAUAUAACAGUUUGCUGUGGCCCACUGUUUUCAACUUUUUAACCAUACUCAUUGCCAAUGGUAGCAUAUUUUUCUUUGAAGUUCCCAUUAGUAUUGGUGAUGCUUUGAUAAUGUCAGGAAUUCUGGGCGCUUAUUCUAUGUUCAUGCUAUGCAGCAGUUAUCGACGACCAAGUUUACGUUCAUUUUGUGUAACAGGAUUUGUAAUUAUUAUUCUAGUCUUCCCUAAAAUAAUUACUAUUCUCCUGGAACAUAUGUGGCACAUUCUGACAGUAAAGUACAUGUACAGCUUUUUCAUAGGUAUGUUUUUCAUUAUUGUGAGACAGCUGUACAUUAUAUAUCUAUUGGAGACUUCCAGUGGCAAUCUUCGUUCCUUUCCAAAGCGAACACGUUCCAAGCAUGAGUGCAGAUAUAAGGAACGUAAAGGUGUGUCUCAGGAUACAUUGGAUAUGACAGACAGUGAUACAGAAGCUACAGCAACAUCAUCUGAGAUUGAGUCGUGAGAUGAUCACCAAUGAUUAAUGAAGCAAACCUAAAUACUAAUAACCAUUGUAGAGUGAAUUAAUGUUAUUUUUCUAUUGGAAAUAUUAUCGUAUAACUUUAUAGCUAUUUAAAAUAACUAUUUUAAAGUGAUAAUACUUUUAACUUUUUACUCUAAUAUUUGAAGUGCUAAGUCAUCAAAUGUUCCUUUACCGAUAAUAAUUUAUAAAAUAAGUGUCAAAAUUGUAUUUGAUUUUAAAAAUUUAAAUAUAUUUAUAUACAUUUUUUCAUAAUGUUUACUUUCCGUUUGGAUUCUAAGCUGGUAAUCUAUUCAAAGGAAGACAGGUUUGGGAGGGACUCAUUCCCUCCUUGAUAAAUAGGUGUACAUAUUCCUACAUAAAUUUUACUAUUAAAAUAAUAAAUUAAUCUUUUUACGACUUUUUAUGCAAAAUUUUUUUGAAAUCCUGUUACGAUUUACGAGAUGUGAAAAAAAUAUAUAAAUACAAUUUUACCAACUUGGAGCAUCAACUGAUUUAUAAGAUUUUAAAGAACCUAACUCUUGUAGAGGAAGCUUUCAUUUAUUAAUCAGUAGUGUAAAAGCUGAAAUUGUCUUGUAUUACAGUUUAAUUUGAUUGAACAAGUGUUUAAAUGAAUGAUUUUGAAAUUAGCAUUCAUAUUGCAUAUAUUUUCGCAUUUUCUAGAAUGUGAAGCUUGAAGCAAGAAGUUUAAAAUGUAGGCUUUAUUCAAAUUUUACUGUUUAUUUGUUCAUGAAAUAUUUAAAUAAAAAUUUCCACUAUUA